AUGUACAACGUCGUACAUUCCGGUGCCUGCGCUCCGGCCGCCCACGACUGAAGCAGGCUCGCUACGCGUGUAGAUUUCAUUC
This 82-nucleotide small RNA is filed under the name Pseudomonadaceae bacterium. RNAcentral's name for it is "sX9 sRNA". It matches the Rfam family "Xanthomonas sRNA sX9". RNAcentral also lists the same sequence under 3 other names. Lineage: Bacteria; Pseudomonadati; Pseudomonadota; Gammaproteobacteria; Pseudomonadales; Pseudomonadaceae. The record is from RNAcentral.